CGGGAUGUAGCGCAGCUUGGUAGCGCACCUCGUUCGGGACGAGGGGGUCGCAGGUUCGAAUCCUGUCAUCCCGACC
RNAcentral lists this transfer RNA (76 nucleotides) under compost metagenome. RNAcentral's name for it is "tRNA-Pro". It matches the Rfam family "tRNA". From Rfam's summary of the family: Transfer RNA (tRNA) molecules are approximately 80 nucleotides in length. Their secondary structure includes four short double-helical elements and three loops (D, anti-codon, and T loops). The record is from RNAcentral.